GAUGAACGCUGGCGGCGUGCCUAAUACAUGCAAGUCGAGCGAACAGAUAAGGAGCUUGCUCCUUUGACGUUAGCGGCGGACGGGUGAGUAACACGUGGGUAACCUACCUAUAAGACUGGGAUAACUUCGGGAAACCGGAGCUAAUACCGGAUAACAUUUGGAACCGCAUGGUUCUGAAGUGAAAGAUGGUUUUGCUAUCACUUAUAGAUGGACCCGCGCCGUAUUAGCUAGUUGGUAAGGUAACGGCUUACCAAGGCGACGAUACGUAGCCGACCUGAGAGGGUGAUCGGCCACACUGGAACUGAGACACGGUCCAGACUCCUACGGGAGGCAGCAGUAGGGAAUCUUCCGCAAUGGGCGAAAGCCUGACGGAGCAACGCCGCGUGAGUGAUGAAGGGUUUCGGCUCGUAAAACUCUGUUAUUAGGGAAGAACAAACGUGUAAGUAACUGUGCACGUCUUGACGGUACCUAAUCAGAAAGCCACGGCUAACUACGUG
RNAcentral lists this ribosomal RNA (497 nucleotides) under uncultured bacterium. RNAcentral describes it as "partial 16S ribosomal RNA". It matches the Rfam family "Bacterial small subunit ribosomal RNA", at positions 28 to 507 of the family's 1533-position model. The record is from RNAcentral.